AUUAUUUCACAAGAAGAGUUCCACUUCACACUUCUCACAUUUCACAAAAAUGAACGAAAGUGGAGACACUACAAUCCACUUAGAUCGUUGGGACGUAGAAAAGAAGAAAGGUGCAUUGACAUUGCUCGAAACUUUGUUAAUAUUGUUGAAGGGUGGCUAGAAUAUAUAAGACCUCAAGCACGAGUGUUCAUAGAAACAAAAAAAAAACCAACACUUGUGAAGCAAAAGGAAGGGCCCCCGACACUUGUACAAAAAGAUUUGACUCCAAAUGAAGAACUCACUCUCAAAUGGAUUAUGCAAAAUCCAUUGCAGUUUCCAUUUGAGGAUGACAUGGAAUGUGCUCAACAAAGUGCAUCUUCAUUGGAUUGCGGCAUGUUC
Molecule: long non-coding RNA, 378 nt
Organism: Prunus persica (peach)
Lineage: Eukaryota; Viridiplantae; Streptophyta; Magnoliopsida; Rosales; Rosaceae
Exons: 3
Source: RefSeq, a predicted model, not a curated record